AACGCACCAAGCUGUGGAUUAAUCCCGCUGCGCGCCCUGGGGCAGAGUGGGAGGAGAUGCAGCCAGGCAAAGGGCCCGGGGCGGGGAACGACUGGAGCCAGGCAGGGUAGCUGCGACCCGAGAGUGGCGAAACUGUCCACGGGAGCUGCGGGGCUGGGCCGCGGGAGAGUCGAACGAAGGGCGGGCAGCUGGAGAGAGGCGUCAGCACUGAUGUUAAAAACACUCCAGGGAAUAGAAUUGAUGUCAUUGGCCAAAUAACUGCAGUCUUGGAAAACAGUGAUGCAGAACAGAUAUUGGAGUAGACCAACGAACUACAUUUAUUAAGGGGAAGAGCUAAACAAACCACAAGACAUAGUGUCUACAAAAUCCAGGACUCAGCCAAACUGCUUAACUUCAGCAGACUGUAACUGAAUACCAGUGGGAGAAACCUUUAAACUACAGGCUUCUGCCACAAAGCUUUUAUAUAGCAAAAUGCCCAUGCUGCCUCAGUUCCUGAUGAUUAUCACAGCAGUGUUAUACCUUAAAUUAGCCCCAGCUGGCCUUGCUGGACUGCAAAGAAGCCAAUUAUCAGGCAGGAGCUGACAGAAUUAGUUUCUCUCUUGCUGGAUGAAGUUGGGAUAAGAAUAUUUAUUAUUUUCUCCAGCUUGUCUUAGGUAAGAUAUCCUACUUUCAUUUACUUGGCAGGGGAGAAGCAAUAAAAUAAGUUAAAAUAAAGUUUCCACUCUGAGACUGACACCUGUCUCUUCUCCCUAGUUUAGCAGAGGUGGACAUGGCCCUGUUCAGUUUCCGCUUAAAUCAGAGGAGAAAAAGGUUUCCUGUGUGCUUGCAAGGAGGUUUCAAAAGAAAGCAUGCUGUGUUGAUUUUACAAAAAAGAAGAAAGAUAAUUAACUACUGUUUAUAUCAGGGGUGGGCAAACUUUUUGGCCCAAGAGCCACAUCAGGGUUGCUCAGCUGUAUGGAGGGCCGGGUAGGGAAGGCUGUGCCUCCCCAAACAGCCUGGCCCCUGCCCCCUAUCCACUCACUCCCCGCCCCCCUCAGACUCACUGACCAUCCAACCCCACCUGCUCCUUGGCCCCUGACUGCCCUGUCCCAGGACCCCCACACCCCUAACCACCCCCCGGGACCCCAGCCCCUAUCCAACUUCCCCCCGCUCCCUGUCCCCUGACUGCCACAACCCCUAUCCACACCCCUGCCCCUAACUGCCCCCUGGGAUCCCAACCCCUAUCCAACUCCCCCUGCUCCCCAUUCCCUGACUGCCCCCCCCCCACUGAACCUCCACCCCAUCCAACCACCCCUUGUUCCCUGACUGCCCUUUGGGACCUGCUGCCUCUUAUCCAACCACCCUACUCCCCGCCCCCUUACCAUGCCGGAGCCAGCCACGCCGCCAUGCUGCCUGAGAGGAGCAGCGGGCCAGAGCGCUGCCCAUGCGGCAGUAUGACUGCGGGGGGAGGAGGGACAGUGGGGGAGGGGCCAGGGAUGAGCCUCCCCAGCGGGGACCUCAGGGGCUGGGCAGGACGGUCCCGCGGGCCGGAUGAGGCCCAUGGGCUGUAGUUUGCCCACCUCUGUUUAUAUCCUAUCUGUAUCACAUGCACUCACACACUCCAUAAGAAGGAAUUCAUGGUGCAGAGAAGUAAUUAAAUAAAAGCUUUCGGAACAGGGAAGGAGUGAUGUUCUCAUCCUGUGUCUUCGUAGGCUCUUUUAUCAGGGAUCCUCUGAAAAGGAAAACUAAGGAGAAACUGCAUUUCUUCCUAUGCAGAACUUUUUUUCCCCUACGCAAGUAAAAAAGGUCAUUUUAUGUGUUUUGCUUUGUGUAUAUAGUACUUUAAUGCUGGCUGUUUAUUAAUAAUCCAAGCCCCAUACAGUGGUGCACAAAGCAGAGGACGACUUUCUCUUCCAAAGUCGUGUCCCCCAAAUUAGAAUGAUAAUGCAGUUCAAACACACAAUACAGUGGAUGAUCAUAGGAAUGUCCAUUUCAGAUUGGUGCAGAUUUCUCUUUUAAACAUUUCCCUGGUAGGUUAUCAUGGAAAGCCUUAGUAGAAAAGGUGUGUUACGUGAGAAGAUUUGAAGGAAGAGAAGGCAGUUAUUUGGUGCACACAAAUAGAAGGGGUUCCAGCAUAGGCAGUGUCAUGAGAAAAGGUGCAAAUGUGGAUGCUGGGGAAAGCUACAAAAAGAACAUUUAGGAGAGUGACAAGGUGGGAAUGGAGACCGUUAGACAGGAAUAGGAGGAACUAUCUGACUAUGAGGGAAAGGCAGAGUUGUGCAGGUGAGCACAUGAAGUUUCAUCUUAGUGCAGAAGGUUGGAGGAAUCUAUGCUAUAUGGCAGAGGUGGUCAAACUGUGGCUCAUGAGCCACAUGCUGCUCUUUUAUCAUUAAAGUGCAGCUCACGGAGCCCCACAGGCCCCCCCGAUUCUCCACUUACCAGACUGGGGGGUAUGGGGGGGAUCAGGACCUCUGCCUUGCAGCAGGGUGGUACGGUAUGGGGAGGGGGGUCUUGGGGCUUCAGCAGGAGCAGGGCUGAAGUCCCAACUCGUGGCUCCUGGCAGGUGUGCCCCGACUCUCGAACUUCUGAAGAUUGUCAUAUGUAGCUCGGCAGGCCAGUAAGUUUGGCUACCCCUGAUAUAUGGGGAGACCAUACGAGAGAGGAGGCUGCCUUGAUCAAAAUGGGAUAUAACCAAAGCAUGGACAAUGUUUUUUUGGAUGAGAAUGUUGAGAUUGUGUAUUACUCUACAAUAAUAUUAUAGAAUUAUUUUAAAACUAUAACUAUAGUUAUUUAGACUACAAAAGACAUUCCAGAUUAGAAUAACUUUGACAGUCAUCAGCUAUUUGAAAAUGUUUAUAUCGUUUUUUUGAAAGCAAGAGAAAUUGGAAUAAAUAAUCACUUCCUAGAGAAAGUGUUGAUAUGUGUUAUAGACAACACCAUGAAUGUAUAAUCUUUGUUUUCUAAAGGGGUCUGUUUUGCAGAAGAGAGAGAUUUCCUUUCUCUUUAUCUCCUUCUAGAGUCAGCAUAGCUAACAGCAAUUUGGGGGAGGAGGUGCUUGCUGGUGCAAUGGGCUCAUGCACUUGCCUUUCUCCUUUGAAGACCUUUUUUAAAACCUGGUUCAGGAUACACGAGGAAAAGCGUUUGUCUCCAGUCUUGUUUCCCAUUUGUUCUCUUCACAGUUUGGCACAAGUCAGCAUCAUUAACAGGCAGUGUUAAAAAAUAGCCCUGUGCUAGAAUAGCAAGGGAGUUAUAGAUUUGUUAAGGAAACUUGCCCAGACCAGAGCCUGCCUAUGAUAAAAUCCCUCAUUUACAAGGCUGCUAAACUUCUCAUAAUUCAAUUAUCAAAAAAGAAAAGUUCUCUAAAUAAUUCUGACUUUCUCAAUAGAAGUUAUAGCCACUUUUGCCAGUGCAGUAGGAUCCACAACAUAGCACAUCCAAAAAUAUAUCGGAAUGAGAUCACUUUUUCAAUGCAGUACACUGCAUAAAGUGCAUGGUAGUAAUAAGAGCACCAUAGGUAGAUAAAUUAUGGAUAUUUUACAUACAGCAAUCGGUGCUUCCCAGUGUUUAGGAUCUUUUUCAAGUCACUGGUAUGAAUGUGCACUGAUUCAUGAGUUUAGCUGCUCUACCCCUUUGUUUCCAUGAGUUGUUCACGUUUCAUGAGCAUCAUGAGUCCCCAUGGAUGAGGUAAAGAUUCCAUUUAUUGAUGUGUCUAAAGGGAAUAAUGAGUUCCAAAAACUCUGGAUGCAGAUAUAAUUGUGUGAAAUAGAAACAUCUUGUGUUACUUUGCCACAUAUAAAAAAAAUCUGCAUCUGUACAUUUUUGCUAUAUCUUAUCAACUUUCUUAUGUUGCCUUCUCAUUGGGUAGGACAGCGGUUCUAAAACUGUGGUCAGGACCCCAAAGUGGGUCACAACCAAUUUUAAUGGGUCACCAGGGCUGGCUUAGACUUGCUGGGACCCAGGGCCAAGGCCCAAGCCUAAGGGCUUCAGCCCUGGGUGGUAAGGCUAAGGUUACAGGCCCCCUGCCUAGGGCUGAAGCUCUUGGGCUUCAGCUUUGGCCCCCCGGCCUGGGGUAGUGCAGCUUUGACUCUUCUCCCCUCCCACUGGGGGUGGCAGGGCUUGGGCGAGCUCAGGUUUUGGUCCCCCCUCCUGGGGUCCUGUAGUAAUUUUUGUUGUCAGAAGAGGGUUACAGUGCAAUGAAGUUUGAGAACCCCUGGGGUAGGGGGAUUUUUCAGAGAGAACUUGGGGCGGUGAGUGAUGCGGUGUACACCUCCACACAAGGUGGCAGAGCAGGUUAAAUUAGGAUAAUUAACCUGAUGGGUUGUACCUGGGGAAGAGCCAGGGAUUGAAGGCCUGAUUGAAGAUGGAGCCCAGCUGGAAAGGAACAGGCAGGGCUAAGAUAAAGCCAGGAAGCUGGCAGUAGCAUGGGGCUGCAGUAAGGGAGCCUGUAGCCACUCUCUAGUUUGUAGAGAGGGAAAGAAGGGAAACUAGGUGGAGAGGGUGUAGGGAAAGGCUCAGAGGAAAGGCAGGAAGGCUUAAGGGAGUGCAGACUGUGGCUACUGAUUAGAGGGUCUGUAAGAUGGAACCUGGAGUAGAGGGUGGCUUGGCUUCCCCUACCAGUCACUGGAGAAGCGCACCAUUGGGGAAGUGAAGGAAAGACAGCCAUCUUGGAGGAAGAGACUUUGAUACGCUCGGAACGGGGGAAAACACAGUGACCUAGCCAGAGAGCCAAGCAUAAAGACACAGCACCCUGAGUCGCAGAGAGUGAGAGAGAGCACAGUGACGGGGCCUGUAGCAAGCAGCAGAAAGGGGUUUUGGACCAGAGUGGAACUAAUCCCCAAAUGUGGCCAGAAGGAGGUGCCCUAGUGGUGCAUGCACCCCAUGACAUGGUGAUAUUAGCAUUAUAAAAUAUUUGUAUUAGAGUAGCACCCAGAGACCCCAAUCGGGGUAAAUGAUAUUGUUCCCUUUCCCCAUCCACCCACCCACCCUCCCUUCCUUUUCUGUCUUCAUUCCAAAAACAUGUCUCCAGGCCUGCUCUUCCAUAGCGUGCCUCCAGCCCGUCCUCUCCCACCCUGCUGCUGUUUCCCAUUUAAAGGCCACAGCUGAGAACCUUUCUAAUGUCCAGACUUCUACUCAGAAUCUGAAUGCCUGGGCUGUUCUUUCCAAAUGCUGGAAUAGACAAGAGCUACAAAGCUGCAUCUUAAGUCUGCGGCUGGAAGAGAGCCAUAGUAGCAAGCUGUUGAAAACCAAUGUGUGUUUUUUGUUUUUAACUGCAAUUAAUAUCUUCACUGCUGACAUGUAUGACAUCAUUCUAUGGAUGCAUGUUUGAAAACAGUGAAUUCUAGUUUACACAUACCCCUGGGAGCUGAUGUUUGGAUUUGUUUCUGUGUUGCUUAUAACACCAGUUUUCUUGUUUAGUUGUUUUUUCCAAACAUGCUUCUCUGCUGGACAAUAUAUACUGUGAUUAGAGAAUUUUCUGUAACAUUGCAUGCAGCACUGGAAAUUAACAGUUUUAUAAUGUAUUCAAUUUAUAAUUAAACAAAUACUUUAUAUUCA
Chelonia mydas (Green sea turtle) is the source of this 5532-nucleotide long non-coding RNA. RefSeq lists it as uncharacterized. Lineage: Eukaryota; Metazoa; Chordata; Testudines; Cheloniidae. The record is from RefSeq and is a predicted model, not a curated record. The transcript is spliced from 2 exons.